Long non-coding RNA from Larimichthys crocea (large yellow croaker), 1299 nucleotides. RefSeq lists it as uncharacterized. The record is from RefSeq and is a predicted model, not a curated record. The transcript has 2 exons. NCBI's taxonomy places the organism in Eukaryota, Metazoa, Chordata, Actinopteri, Sciaenidae.
CCGCUUCUCCUCCUGCUUCUCCUCCUGCUUCUCCUCCCGCUUCUCCUCCUGCUUCUCCUGCUGCUUCUCCUCCCGCUUCUCCUCCUGCUUCUCCUGCUGCUUCUCCUCCAGCUUCUCCUGCCUCUAACAGCAGUCUCUCAUCUUCUGACCUAGGCUCCUCUGGCAGGAGGCGCAGGGAGGACAGCGACUCGGAGGACGAGGAGCCUGCUGCCAAGGUGCCACGUUGGUGACGACAGCGACUCAGAUUGAGGAUGGUUGUGAAAACCCAGGUAGCAUCUUGCACUGGGACCAUCCAUCAUCUCCGUAUGUAAAUAGUUCCAAACAUUUAUUGGUUAUCAUCUAGUUAAGUUAAGUUAUUUAGUUAAGUUUUUUAACUCUGUGGGGUGGCCUUUGCGUCUGGCUGGGCAAACAAACCCCCCGACAGCAUCUGCGUCUGGCGGGGCUGUCCACAAACCCAGGUAGCGUCUUGCACUGAGUUUUUUUUUUGUUGUUUUAAUCCUGCCCUCUUUCUUUGACGUGACGACUGGGUUGACUUUUCUUUCCUCCUGGGCGGAAAUGCUGCGGGAAGCCCUUGCAACUGGCAGGGCUGUCGACCCCUCGUCUAAAGGGCAGGAUAGGAUACUAACUUAAUUGUGUGGUGAGAGAGAGAGGAAAACGGCAAAAAGCUGCAAAGAAAGAUCAAACUAAGCCACUUCCACUCUCACCACCAUGAAAGCUCCUUAAAGGAGCAUUUUAGACUCAAUGCAGCUUUUAAAAAAGCCAAAACAACCAAACUCUGACCAAACAGACGACAUCUUGUGGAGCUCCAUCUUCUUCAGGUAAUUAAACAUUGAAUAUGAUUGAUUCAAAAAUUCAAACAAGCUUACUAACCUAUUUUUCUCUUACCAGCCAAAAAAAGUAAGUACAAGCUUCCCAUCAGAUAUAAUAUUACUCAAAGCAUCCAUAUAAUAUGACAUUUUCAAUAACUGCACGAUUCACAGAUUGUUUGACUCAUGCUUUUGUCUUCCUCUCCCUCCCGAGCUGCUGUCGUUCACCGUACAUCGUCAGUUAUGUUACUGUGAAUCAUAUACUUAUUUAGUAAUUCAGAGGUUAUUUGUCUGUAUCACUAACUAUUCCUUAUUGUAUGUUUGUCUCCCCACCCACCGCCUGAGCUGCCGCUGUUCACCGUGUCCUAAGGCCCCCUGAACGAGGACGAAAACCAAAGCACACAAAUAAACCGUCACAUCAGUCCACUGAGCUGACUUUGUCACUUUGCUUUAAAACUUAACUGUAUUAAUGUUAAAUAAAACACUCAGAAGU